Molecule: long non-coding RNA, 802 nt
Filed under: Vulpes vulpes (red fox)
Lineage: Eukaryota; Metazoa; Chordata; Mammalia; Carnivora; Canidae
Description: lncRNA (ENSVVUG00000026577.1)
Source: RNAcentral
AUGGCUACAUGUCUGGAGAUUGUCACUGAGGAGGAAAGAGGAGAAAGGCCUGCAAGGGAGGAAGGGACCGUCUGGACCACACACCGAGACUGGGGGCACAGACCCGACAGAGGCCUCGCUCAUGGGCCUUGUUCACUGCUUCCAGAAUGGCUACCCUGUCCAUGGCUGACUAACAACAUACAAGCGCUCCAGCCUUUGCCCUUCCUCAGCCUUGUCACAGAUGAGGCAGAGAAGGAUGGGAGAAGCCAAAUUAACUUCCCCUUCACUGGCUGUAUGGCUUUAGGUAACCAUGAUAGCUACCUUCUGGAUGCUACCACUACAGCAUCCUUUGAGGGGCCCCAAAGGCUGCCUCUUGCCAUCCUGCUGGGAUCUGGACACACUGAAGCCUUCUGAACUUCUUCUCUUUUUUUUUUUUUUUUAAGAUUUUAUUCAUUUAUUCAUGAGAGACACUGAGAGAGAGACACAGGCAGAGGGAGAAGCAGGCUCCAUGCAGGGAGCCCAAUAUAGAACCCGAUCCUGGGACUCCAGAAUUAUGCCCUGGGCUGAAGGCAGGCGCUAAAUCGCUGAGCCACCCAGACAUCCACCCUCUGAACUUCUGAAGCCCACUUGAGACCUGGUGUGCAGAUGCUGAGGCACCCCCCAGCAUCUUCUCUGAGCCUCCCUUCAUGUGGACCCCUGCCCACAAAUCCUCCAAGGCCAGGUUCCUGCCCCACCCUCUGCAGGGAGUACCCCCCUCCCAUGUCUGCCCCCUCUGAAGUCCCAGACUCUGGCUGUCAUCUCUGGCCAGCUAGCUGCCCUGUGC